GGGGAUGAUCGGUUUCGACAUUGCAUUUUUGAAUGGAAGAAGCGGGUCGAGAAUGUAGCGUCAACUCGUUAAUGUCCGCUGCAAACUAUAGGUGCCAAAUCAAACCGCACCGACUUUGCCCUAGCUGCAUAAGCUAGCCCGAAGUCCGUCAGCCUAAAUGUGAUUUCGUUUUAGGUCCUGGCGUCAUUUAGAAAUCUCGCUGAGUGUUUAUGUCUUAGGGACACUCGGGACUUUAACUAAGGCUGGGCCUGUCGGAUAUGUCGCUUCAAGCUAGCGCCGGGGCCGAGUAGAACCUUAUUGAAGCUACACCCGUAGAAGUGCCAUGAUCAUUGCAUUGGACGGGGGUUCAAUUCCCCCCAUCUCCACCA
RNAcentral lists this transfer-messenger RNA (368 nucleotides) under Microbacteriaceae. RNAcentral describes it as "Rhodoluna sp017983965 Standard tmRNA". It matches the Rfam family "transfer-messenger RNA". From Rfam's summary of the family: Bacterial tmRNA, also known as 10Sa RNA or SsrA, is named for its dual tRNA and mRNA-like properties. The record is from RNAcentral. RNAcentral also lists the same sequence under 1 other name. Lineage: Bacteria; Bacillati; Actinomycetota; Actinomycetes; Micrococcales.